CAUAUUUCUCCAUCCAUUUACCUCCAAGAUGUAUGUGUCUGUAUAUUUAAAGUGGAUUUCUUCUGGACGAUAUAUAGGUGGGUCUCGUUCUUUGAUCCUCUCUGACAAUCUCUGCCUUUCAAUCAGUGCAUUUGCACCAUUAGUGUGUACAGUGAUUAUUGAUAUAGUUGGAUUAAUACUUGCUAUAUUUGUUACUGUUCCUUAUUCAUUGCCCUUGGUCUUUGUUCCUGUUUUUGUCUUUCACUCUUUUUCUGCCUUUUGUAGUUUUAAUUGAUUUCAUAUGAUUUCAUUUUCUCUCCUUUAUUAACAUAUCAGUUAUACCUCUUUUUUAAUGUUCUUUUAGUCGUCGCCCUAGAAUGUGCAAUAUCCAUUUAUAAUUAAGUCAAGUCCACUUUCAAAUAACACUGUGCCACUUUAUGGGUAAUGCAAGUACUCACAACAACUAUACACUUACAUUUACUUGAUUAUGUGAUUGCAAUAAAUAGAAAAAACGGAAAUAUUUAUUUCUCCCUCACUUAUUCCUUCCCUGAUAAUCUUCCCUCCUUUAUGUCGUUCUGAGUGUCAGUCCUACAUUAUUCUUCUUUUCUCUGAAGAACUUCUUUUAACAUGUCUUGCAAGGCAGGUCUACUGGCAACCAAUCUCCUUCAACAAAUCACUUCUGAAGGAUCAUUUUUCAGGGUACAGAAUUAUAGCUUGGUGAGUUUUUUUUUUUUUCUCUCAAUACCUUAACUAUUUCCCUCCACUCUUGUUUUGCUUGAGUUGUUUCCUGUCAUGAGUCAGCUUAGGCUGUCAUAGCAAAAUACAGUGUGUGUAUUACUAAGCACGAUGUCUUAAACACCAUAAAUUUAUUUCUCACAGUUCUGAAGUCAGGAGGCCACGGAUUAUGGUGCCAGCAUGGUCAGAUGCUGAUACAGGCUCCCUUCUGGGUUUGCAGAUGGCCACUUGCUCUCUGUGUCUUCACACAGCAGUGAUUUCUCUUCUUACAGGGGCACUAGUCCCAUCAUGAGGGCCCCACCCUCUGGACCUCAUCUAAACUGAAUUAUCUCCCCAAAGCCCAUUAGGAUUUCAACAGUUGAAUUUGGGGAAAACAACUCAGUCUGUAACAGCUCCUGAGCAGAAACCACAUACAAUUCUUAUCUUUGCUCCUCCAAAGUUUUUACAGAACCCCUAGGAGAUCCACAUGUUCAUUUCCAUUUAGAGAAGCAUGAACUUUAAAGUUAAGCAACCGGCACAAAGUCUCCAGAAGGUAAACGCAGAAAGUGUCGAUCUGCGGGAAGAGCCCAAGGAGGGAAAUCGCAGGGAAGCAAUAUAAAAAUACUGGAAGUGAACAGACAAAGUUGACGGUAAGUGUGCGGCCGAUGGCCACCAGUCCCCGAGGCAAUCCCGCCUGCUCCCGUUCCAGCACCCGGCCCGCCCUGCCCGUGUCCUGGAGGCAACACUGGACUCCUUGCACCCACAGAAGGAAGGUCUGCAGGCCGAGUGGAAACAUGCCUGCAGAAGUAACAAGGGGCCGUGUCCGAGGAAGAGGCCUAGACGAGGGCCCAGGAGAGACCUCGGGUGGUGAGGGAGGCAGUGGACCAGUCCACAGUUUGCAAGAGCAGCUUUGCAUGUGGGGGGCAUGAGCAUGGGAGGAGAAUCUGGGAAACUCCAGAAAUAGGCAAACCUAAAGGGUGGUAGGUGGGCGGGUCUCUCCCUGCACGGGGGCAGGGGGUGCAAACAUCGGAGCUGGGGGCUCCUCACUUUGUGCCUCUGUCCCCUGGUGCACUUGACGUGCUGAGCAUCACCACAUCUACAUGCCAACCACAGAUUCGAGUUCAGUGGGAACUCCAGGUUCGCAGAGGAACAAGGGAGGGUGGUGAUUAAGACGCCACCACAGGUGAUGGUGGGGCACUGAAGGGACUGACUCCCUGGACACUGGAGCAUCUGGGACAUGAAGGUAGCCCUGCCUGGCCAGAGGACCGUGUUCCGUCCCAAAAUUGUAACAGUGCAGCUGGAUAAAACAUCCACAUGCCAGGACUCCACCUGUCCCCCAGAUCAUUUGUUAGAGGAAAUAAGACGUACCAGAGCUGCGUUUCACAGCUACUUCCCUAUUAUCCUCCCUUGCUCAAGUCUUUGUAAGUUGGCUUUCAUAGAAACACAGAAUCUCCCAUUCCUUCUGCUAUAAUACAUCUGUCUUCUGUCUCAGUUUAUUGAGUAGCAUGUCAAUGUAGUUCGAUACUGGUAAGCCUUAAUAAAACUAAGGAAAUUUGAUUUGAAAUCCCA
Long non-coding RNA from Herpailurus yagouaroundi (jaguarundi), 2262 nucleotides. RefSeq lists it as uncharacterized. The record is from RefSeq and is a predicted model, not a curated record. The transcript is spliced from 3 exons. NCBI's taxonomy places the organism in Eukaryota, Metazoa, Chordata, Mammalia, Carnivora, Felidae.